GCGGUAUGAUGAGCACAUGUCAGCCGACUGACUGUCACUGGAGAGUGAUAAGAUCCAACUCUGACCUCAGCAAAGCC
This is a small nucleolar RNA of Erinaceus europaeus (western European hedgehog), 77 nucleotides long. Lineage: Eukaryota; Metazoa; Chordata; Mammalia; Eulipotyphla; Erinaceidae. The record is from Ensembl.